GGGUCAGUAGGUUGGUCGUGCCACCGGUACGUACUGGUCUCACUGAUUCCUCCUUCCUGAAGAACCGUAAUGCCAUUAAUUUGGUGUUGCGGGGAAACAGGACUGUUACUUUGAAAAAAUUAGAGUGUUUAAAGCAAGCUAACGCUUGAAUACAUUAGCAUGGAAUAAUGAAAUAGGACGAUCGAUCCUAUUUUGUUGGUUGCUAGGAUUGACGUA
This 216-nucleotide ribosomal RNA is filed under the name Glomeromycotina sp. Its description in RNAcentral is "partial small subunit ribosomal RNA". The stretch from base 40 to 216 matches the Rfam family "Eukaryotic small subunit ribosomal RNA", at positions 686 to 864 of the family's 1831-position model. The record is from RNAcentral. Lineage: Eukaryota; Fungi; Glomeromycota.